Molecule: long non-coding RNA, 1493 nt
Organism: Triplophysa dalaica
Lineage: Eukaryota; Metazoa; Chordata; Actinopteri; Cypriniformes; Nemacheilidae
Exons: 2
Source: RefSeq, a predicted model, not a curated record
UUAAAUAAAUAAAACAUAUUCAAAGUGAGUACACUCUAAAAAAUGCUGGGUUAUUUGUUUAACCCAACAGCUGGGUUGAGCCUGUUGGGUCAUUUUGUUGGGUUAUUUUCUUAGUGUUGGGUCAUUUUUUGAGUAACCCAAACGCUGGGUUACCAGUCUGGUCCAAUUGAGUGACAGUUGAGAGAGUAAACCCCUCCCACUCCUCUACGCAUCAGACAAACUUUACCUUCGCGGGCAUUUUGAUCCACUUCAUCUCGGAAAGCUGUUAUUCGGAGAACAAAAGGUAUGUUUUACGAGUUUUUAAUGUAUAAAACUAUUACUGUAAAAAAAAAAUGCAAAAGUAUGCAAAAUUCGGCUGUUCGCAUUAGGUUUGAAAGUAACGUUACAAUCUAGCUUCGUUAGCUUUGGAUAGCUAGUCUGUAACGUUAUGCCCACGUUGUUCUAAUUUACAGCUUUUUAAUCAUUUAAACUUCCUUUUUGGUGAACAUUUCCUCUGAAAUGUGUGACUUGUGUGAGGAAUUUAGUUCAGUAACUUACGCAAGGAGGUGUGAGCUUCAGGCUGUCAGCGGUCGUGUCUCCGUGGAGAGCAGCUCUAUCUCGGCCAUUGCUUCGGGAAUAGCCGCUGGCUCUUAUAACGUUAGUGGUUAACAAUGCGAUAUAGUUAAUUUUGGGUAUAUGAGACGAACAAUUGUUGCUCUUUUUAGACUUAAACUUAUUCCCGAGUGUGUCGAAUUAGUUAAGAGUUGUGUUAACGUUUAUAAUAUUAUUUUUUAAGACUGUAUUUCAGUUUCUGUACUAUAUCCCACUCAUCUUUUUCCCCCACUGACAGGUUGCAGAAUAACAGCUAAUAUUAAUGGAUCAUUCUAUUCAAGAGAAUGUCAACUGGAACUUGGAUGUUUUCAUAACAGGCUUAAAGAUGAACAAAUUGAUAAAGAAACCCUCCUGCUGGACAUCCACUUCCAAAAGUGCACACCACACUGUUGUCUACAACUCCUAGGAAAAGAAUCCUCUUAAGUAAGACUGCUCCGUGGAUAUGUCAGGUUAAGCAGUGCUGAAACCGAAAGAACUAACACUAUUUAAAAUGUUUUGUGAGUUUAUAUGAAGAGGAAAGUUACGGUGUCCCUUUUUCACAUCCAUAACGCUUGUUUAUUUCUUUUUUUAUAGAAAACUUGUGCAUAGACUUAUAUUUUAACAUAUAAAUGCAGUUCUAUUAACAAGGGUUUAGUAAAAUACUUUUUAUAGCGUUUUGAAGUGUUAAGUUGUCUAACUAUUUAUAUUUACUUGUGCCACUUUAAUAACCUUGUUAAAUGUAUAUGUUAAAAUCUAAACUAAUGUAAUUUAUUGAAAUUAAUGUUCUUUAAAUAUGUAUAAACAUACAUUUCAUCAAAGUGUUUUAUAUGCCAUUUUAUUGUUCAUUGAGCAUAACAUAUUGCAUGUUUUUAUGAAUUCCUUUUGUCUUGCAUUUUGAUCCUUAAUAAAACUAUUGAUUCUUA